CCCGGACCCUCACCCGGAGGCAAGUCGAUUUUGCUUAAGCUCCUGAUAUUUCGAAAUGGCUGCCGAGCUGCCGAGUGCGGGAGAAUGUAUCUAAUAAACGCAAGCUGACUUGGCUGAAGGGGGACGGUUCUACACAAGAGUUCAAGAAAUUCUCCAGAGAACUAGUUAGGCUUAAAGGAAAAUGGACCACACUGAGUUGACAGAGAGUGUGGAACAGGGCUAUGAUGAUUGGAAAGAAACUGUGAUAAUCACCUGUUGAGCCUUGAUGCUGAAUGAUCUGAGUUUCCUUAGAGCCAAAUAAGAACCUAGUGUAAUAAUUGGGAAAAACAAAGCAGAGAAAUUAUCCCCAGUGGCUUGGCCAAAAUUUAGUGUGUAAUCAUCAGUAAAAAUAAAAUCAUCUUGUAUGUAUGCUUGUGAGAGCUUGCAGAACAUAAAUUGACUGUUUGAUCUCCUGCAUUACAAUGUGGAAGGUACUUCAAUAAAGUGAGUUUUGAAAAACUGUAAGUGAGGUAAAAAUGCUAUACAAAUGAGAGAGUUUCUUAUUGAUCGUUCUAUUUUGUAACAAUAGUUUGAUAGAUUAUCCUGUGUAGAUAAUCUCAGUGUUGACAAUUCAGGUUAUUUAAGAUAACAGGAAGAAAUCAAGUUACUUUCUAUUUUGGUGGAAUUAUUUGAGCUGUUCCUGCACAGCUAACAUUAAUAAUUCUGUAAUACUUCCUAAUAUCAAGUUAAUCCUUUGGUCCUCAGGUCCAGAUUCUUUGACCAUGGACAGAUUUUGACACAAAGUUAUUUUUUGAAGCACCUGACAGUUAAACCUGAAACUGCAAUGCCUAACUCACUCUGCUGUGUUUACUAUCAUAAGCUUUCAUCUUACCAUUUCUUUCCCCUUACUCUGAUCGUUGUAUUUGCAUCUCAGUUUAACCGCAACCUCACAAGCACACAGUGAUAAAAUAUAUAUGUUGUCAUGCAUAUUUUAUUAGCUCUCUUAAAGUAUGGAUGUGCAGUGCAAAGUCACUAAAUAUGGUGAUUUAUUUGAGCAGGUGAAAGUUUGACAGUAGCCUUGCUUGUUUGACUAGUUAUAUUAAUUAGCAGCUAUAACAAUCUAUAUUAGGCACAAAUUAGUGGAGCCAAAGGAAUAGAUGAAAAUAAAAUACCAGGUUAUUUUGGGUUUAAUCAAGUCUUGCCAGUAACUAAACUCAGCAGGAGCUUUGGCCAGAAGUCAAAAUGAAGGAUUAAAUGCUGUAUAGAUUAUGAGUAGCACCUAAUUCAUGGUGGUGAGAGGCAGUGGGGGCUUGGUAGUGGAUGCUGGGAGUAGUGAAGAGGAUGGGUAAUUUAGGAUUAUCAUGAUUUAAAUAUCUUUUCAGUUACUGGGAAAAAAAAUAUAAUAGCAUGUUUAACUCUCACGUCAUAAUUGGACGCAAUUUCCUGGAUUUAUGCAUAUGGCUUAGACUCACCCAUGUCGGAUUAAGGUGCAGAUUUGUUACUUUUCUAAUGUUUUCAUUUAUAGUUUAACUUUCCUAUGCUUGUUUGUGUUUUUAUAUAAUCACCGAUACACAUGUUCAGUAAAUCUUCCAGUAAUUGAAGUUCAAAUUUCAAAGUACAUUUAUUAUCAAAGUAUGUAUGCAUUAUACAACCCUGAGAUUUAGCUCCUUACAGACAGCUACAAAACAAAGAAACCUGAAAAGAACCAACUGAAAAAAAGACCAUCAAACACCCAAUGCACAGAGAGAAAAUAAAAAUCGUAGAAACAAUUAACGUAAGCAAAUAGCAUUCAGAAUGGAAGUUUUAUGAAAGACACGUGACCAGGCAUCACUGCACCUGGAGCAGACCACAGUUGAUUCUGUAUUUUUUUGGCAGCUUCUCAGUUUUCCUGCAGUAGGUGUCACACCCCACUUGAAUCUGGCUAUUUCAUAAGUUAAUUGUUAGCACUGGAAUUGUUUAUCUCAUAUCUGAAUAUGAUACUGCUCCUUUGUUGUUUGUUCCUGUAAUACUUAAUAAAAUGCCUGAAA
This is a long non-coding RNA of Mobula hypostoma (lesser devil ray), 2006 nucleotides long. RefSeq lists it as uncharacterized. The transcript has 3 exons. Lineage: Eukaryota; Metazoa; Chordata; Chondrichthyes; Myliobatiformes; Myliobatidae. The record is from RefSeq and is a predicted model, not a curated record.